Molecule: ribosomal RNA, 482 nt
Filed under: uncultured bacterium
Lineage: Bacteria
Description: partial 16S ribosomal RNA
Rfam family: Bacterial small subunit ribosomal RNA
Source: RNAcentral
AUUGAACGCUGGCGGCAUGCCUUACACAUGCAAGUCGAACGGUAACAGGUCUUCGGAUGCUGACGAGUGGCGAACGGGUGAGUAAUACAUCGGAACGUGCCCGAUCGUGGGGGAUAACGAAGCGAAAGCUUUGCUAAUACCGCAUAAGAUCUACGGAUGACAGCAGGGGACCGCAAGGCCUUGCGCGAACGGAGCGGCCGAUGGCAGAUUAGGUAGUUGGUGGGAUAAAAGCUUACCAAGCCGACGAUCUGUAGCUGGUCUGAGAGGACGACCAGCCACACUGGGACUGAGACACGGCCCAGACUCCUACGGGAGGCAGCAGUGGGGAAUUUUGGACAAUGGGCGAAAGCCUGAUCCAGCCAUGCCGCGUGCAGGAUGAAGGCCUUCGGGUUGUAAACUGCUUUUGUACGGAACGAAAAGACUCUGGUUAAUACCUGGGGUCCAUGACGGUACCGGAAGAAUAAGCACCGGCUAACUACGUG